This is a non-coding RNA of Triticum aestivum (bread wheat), 115 nucleotides long. NCBI's taxonomy places the organism in Eukaryota, Viridiplantae, Streptophyta, Magnoliopsida, Poales, Poaceae. The record is from Rfam.
CUAGUACUCCCUCUGUUCGGAAUUACUUGUCGCAAAAAUGGAUAUAUCUAGACGUAAUUUAGUUCUAGAUACAUCCAUUUUCGAGACAAGUAAUUCCGAACGGAGGGAGUAGUAC